GGUGCGGUAGCCAAGUGGUAAGGCCAGGGUCUGCAAAACCCUCAUUCGUCGGUUCGAUCCCGACCCGCACCUCCA
Molecule: transfer RNA, 75 nt
Filed under: Bryobacterales bacterium
Lineage: Bacteria; Pseudomonadati; Acidobacteriota; Terriglobia; Bryobacterales
Also listed under: 2 other names
Description: tRNA-Cys
Rfam family: tRNA
About the family: Transfer RNA (tRNA) molecules are approximately 80 nucleotides in length. Their secondary structure includes four short double-helical elements and three loops (D, anti-codon, and T loops). Further hydrogen bonds mediate the characteristic L-shaped molecular structure. tRNAs have two regions of fundamental functional importance: the anti-codon, which is responsible for specific mRNA codon recognition, and the 3' end, to which the tRNAs corresponding amino acid is attached (by aminoacyl-tRNA synthetases). tRNAs cope with the degeneracy of the genetic code in two manners: having more than one tRNA (with a specific anti-codon) for a particular amino acid; and 'wobble' base-pairing, i.e. permitting non-standard base-pairing at the 3rd anti-codon position.
Source: RNAcentral